Monopterus albus (swamp eel) is the source of this 418-nucleotide long non-coding RNA. RefSeq lists it as uncharacterized. Lineage: Eukaryota; Metazoa; Chordata; Actinopteri; Synbranchiformes; Synbranchidae. The record is from RefSeq and is a predicted model, not a curated record. The transcript is spliced from 4 exons.
GUCACGUCAUAGGCGCGCCAGAGAUCAUUUCUGUGAAGAGACGUCGUGUAUCUGACAGGAGAAGACCAUGGUCUUGACACUUGGUUGCAAUGAAGAACGCUGGCCAGGUGAAGGUUUGUCAAACUGGGUUAGCUGAUGAACCAGCCCCAAACCUUCUGCAGGUGUGCUUCAGUUUCCUGGCACCUGGAAACAAGGACUCACAGCUGAGCAGUUUGAUAAACAAGACUGAGUCAGAGGAUGCAUCAGCCCUCAGAGGUUAACGUUUUACACAGGACCCCAUCACUGUGGAGGAAAGAGCUGAUCAGGUGAACAUCAGUUGACUAUCUCCUACCAGAGUGACAUCAGUUCAACAUGGCUGUCUGCUACUCCACAAAUUCUGUCAAGUAUUUUGCCAUUUAGUUGGACCUAAAUGUGACAA